ACGGAAGGCAGCAGUGGGGAAUAUUGCACAAUGGGCGAAAGCCUGAUGCAGCGACGCCGCGUGAGGGACGACGGCCUUCGGGUUGUAAACCUCUUUCAGUAGGGAACAAGGCAUCAUUUUUGUGGUGUUGAGGGUACUUGCAGAAGAAGCACCGGCUAACUACGUGCCAGCAGCCGCGGUAAUACGUAGGGUGCAAGCGUUAUCCGGAAUUAUUGGGCGUAAAGAGCUCGUAGGCGGUUUGUCGCGUCUGUCGUGAAAGUCCGGGGCUCAACUCCGGAUCUGCGGUGGGUACGGGCAGACUAGAGUGAUGUAGGGGAGACUGGAAUUCCUGGUGUAGCGGUGGAAUGCGCAGAUAUCAGGAGGAACACCGAUGGCGAAGGCAGGUCUCUGGGCAUUAACUGACGCUGAGGAGCGAAAGCAUGGGGAGCGAACAGGAUUAGAUACCCUGGUA
RNAcentral lists this ribosomal RNA (451 nucleotides) under uncultured Arthrobacter sp. RNAcentral describes it as "bacterial SSU rRNA". It matches the Rfam family "Bacterial small subunit ribosomal RNA", at positions 341 to 792 of the family's 1533-position model. The record is from RNAcentral. Lineage: Bacteria; Bacillati; Actinomycetota; Actinomycetes; Micrococcales; Micrococcaceae.